ACCCGCAAAACAGCGAGUUGGCUGGCAGCAGAGCUCUCAAAAGAAGGCCACCAGGUGGCUCUGCUGAGUGGCGAAAUGGUGGUGGAACAGAGGGCUGCAGUGAUUGAGCGCUUCCGAGAGGGCAAAGAGAAGGUUCUGGUCACCACCAACGUGUGUGCCCGCGGAAUCGAUGUCGAACAGGUGUCCGUCGUCAUCAACUUUGACCUGCCCGUGGACAAGGACGGGAACCCGGACAACGAGACCUACCUGCACCGGAUCGGGCGCACCGGCCGCUUUGGCAAGAGGGGCCUGGCGGUGAACAUGGUGGACAGCAAGCACAGCAUGAACAUCCUCAACAGGAUCCAGGAGCAUUUCAACAAGAAAAUAGAAAGACUGGACACGGAUGAUUUGGACGAGAUUGAGAAAAUAGCCAACUGAGAAGCUCCAGCCGUCACUGGUGCCCGCCCUUGGCGCUCCCCCUGCACGGGACACUAGUGCUCAUGGCCGAGCCUGGGCAGUCACCACAGAGACGAAGGAGGCACGGAUAGCGAGAAACUACCUACCUCAUUUAAAUUACGUUUGGACUUGGCAAAAAUUGUGCAAAUCAUGGGGGAAGGUAGACAAAAUUGUUUACACAACUUGUGAAGAUUAGGCGUGAAUACACAGAAAUUUACCUUUUGGAAAUUCCAUCUUUUUUUUUUUAAGCCAGUGGCUUUCCCAAUAUAAUGCUAAUCUAGAUGUAGCUAAUCACUUGCUCAGGAGCCUUUGUGGCAGCCCCUGCCUGUUCUCUGCUUAGGACUGUUCUGGCCAGCCUCCAGCCCUUGUAGAAGUGACAGAAUAUAGGUGAAGAGGGAACAGAGAAAGAGAGAAAGACCCCAAGUGGAGUAGGUGCGUAAGCCAGUCAUCACAUUUGGAAUAUGGUGUGAGGCAGCAGAAGAGACCUGUGAGCUGCUGCUUUUGAUUGGGGUUGGGAAAGCUCAUAUGAAUGUUGUCAGCCCCCUCUGUCCUGAUGCCCAGGGCAGGAAGAGUCUGCUAAGCAUGGACCAAGGUGCCAACUUGGGAUCUUUGGUGUAUGCAAUCUGUGCUGCAAACCAUAACGUACUCUUUUCAGCAGGUGCAAUCUGUGUAGAAUGCACACCUGAUACCUGUUGGGUCCCUUGCUUCUUUCUGCUUGAGCAAAUCCGAGAAGUCACCAUGGAGAAUUAGUGGUUUUCCUAUCUUGCCAAAAAACCUGAUCUGGUGGGCACUCGUAUCUUUUUCACACCCCUAAUAUCACCUUGACCCCUUAGUAGCCCCAAGCAAAUAAAAGGUGAUCUGAGGUUUGGAUCCUUUUUGAAAAUUGUGGUUUCAAGUUGCUAAGGAUCAGUCUCAAGACAGCUCCAGAAGUGAUCAGCAGUGGUCACAAAUCCUUGCUUUAUUUCCAGAUCCUAGAAGGCAAGUUUUUAAUCAGCUGGAGAAUGAUUUCAGAAAUGUGGCCAUCUUGAUUAUAAAGCUAUUCUGAACAUCUGCAUUCACAGUGCCUGGAAUACAAACAGUUGCAACUAAGGGACAAGGUGGACUACAGCUAUUCCUCUUUCCAAGGCAAGAGCAGCUGCCAAGGCCUUCGCUCCAUCCUUACUUGGCAUCUUUGUACAAAAUAGAGCAAAUAAUAGUAAUGGACUUUUCUCAUACCUGGCAGAGCUUUGGUACCCAGAGAGUGACAGAGCAAAGGUGAGAUAAAACCGAGUUGCAAGAGCAAGACGAAACCCCAGCCCAAAGGAAUCUUCUUCAGCUCUUUGAUAGGGAAAGGCCAGCUUAUCUACGACCAGGCCUGGAAGAUAGAUUUUCUGUGAUGAGAACUACUCUAAUCCCAGACUUUGUAGGCACAUCUGUUUUUUAGAGCUAAUUUGUCUCCUGGGAAGGGGAAGGGCUAAUGUCAGUCUCCAGUGGUUUCCAUGAUCUGACCUCACAGAUUACCAAUCCUGCCACAUCCCCCUGUAGGCACUUGACUGUUGUGUCUUGCUUGUAUAUCUGGCCAACUCUGACCCACCUUGGAAGUCUCUUAAGAAGAGAAGAAAUGUUAUACCUCCACCUGCCCUCUGCAAAGUCCUGUGGACCAGCUCUGAAAUAACUUAAAACAAAGGCAAUAAUUAAAGGAGUACAGACUGCUCCUGAGGCUGCAGGCCGGGUACAUCGCUGCCCUCUCAUAAUAUGUAUAUAUAACCUGUCUACUGAGUGGCUCUAAAUCUGAGCAGGGAAGCGGGAAGUGGUGUGCUUCAGACUCUUCAAUAGUAGGAAUAAAUGGGUGUCUGGUAGAAAUCUAGAUCAACAGUUCUUUAUAUGGGAGCUUGGGCCCCGAAGAAUUCAGUGGUCGGGUUUCAUGGAGUAUAUGGGAAGUACAUGCGGUGUUUUGAUUUUAAAUGCAUUUUCUUUGGGAGAAACUCCCCCAAACUAUGUGUCUUUUAAAAAAAUAAGUCACUGUAUGGAUGGCUCUGAAAUGUCCUCCCAUUGUCAUUGCAGUUCACAUUCCUUCACAGUCCAUACCUUUUCCUGCCAAUGCUCAGCUUCUGCAGUGUAAUGGUCCACAGUUGCCUUUGUGACCUUGUGCCAUUUUGAGAUAUGAGUGAUGUAAAAAUGUACUGAGCCCUUGAAGAGCUUCAGUCCCUAAAGUUUCUUUUACUGUUUUUAUUAAGUUCCUAUGUAUAGGACAAUAAACUGUGCCCUAGAACAGAGAAACUCGCUUGAGAGAAGGAGAUUUUAGCCCAGAAGAAAAUUUUCAAUAUGUUCAUUAUCCAUAAACAAUGGAUUUUAUUGGUUUUUUUGAGUGUUUAUUGGCUGUAUGCAUAAGAACAAAUCAGCUGUUAAUGCAUUUUUUUAUUGAUUGUAAUUGGACUUAAUUAUGACGUGUUGUUCGUAGUACUAAGACAUCAGUUCUGAGUAUAAGAAGAAAACAGCAGCACCUUUUGGUUGCUGGUAUUGGUGAAGAUUUAUGUCAUAUUUCACAGACUAGUCAGCACCUGAUAUUCCACUUGAGAGUUGACAGUGCUCCAGCCUGAGCAGUUGGGAUGUUUCCAUCAGCCAAGAGCCCAGCUCCUUACAUUCCUCUUUCUCCUGCUGGUAAACCAGAGGAUGCUGGCUAACUAAUCAGAAAGAAGGUACAUGCCAGCAAUACAAGUCCUUACACUCUAUUUUCCAGUCCUAGGAAAGGAAUACAAAUAGGACAUGGAAAUGAGUCUUCUCCCUUUGUCGUUCUCAUCCCGUUUAUGAUUUAAUAUGAAGGCUACUUCAUUCAAAGUGUCUUUGGCAUUCAGCAGGUAAAGAUUCCUGAGGUUAGAGAUGAUUUCAUGGAAGAAUGGAGCUUGCUUAUGAGAGAAAAGUGGGAUUCCGAGUGCCAAGGAGAGUGCCUGAGGCAGACAAGGCCCUAUUCAGACCAAAGCAACCUCACCAGGAUAAAUGCGGUACCCUGGAAGGGCACUGAGGGGAGCAGCUUCGCCACAGGGGCAGAGAAAAGUCUUACUAGAUUAAAAAAUGAAGAUUUGAUUAUUUCAACAGUAUUUGGAUUUAGCAAUAAAUUAUCAUGGCUUCUUAGAUUACAGGAAGUGAUAAAAUGGUUUUUUGGGAAAAAUGGUCUAGCAGAGAUAUACAGGAUAUGGUGGAGCUGGAAAAAACUGGCAUCUGAGAAACCAUUUAGAAGAUUAUUGUAUCCGUCAUCACACAGCAAGUGCCAGGAUGUCAUUGGUCAUAUGGAGAAGACGAAGAAAAGGACUGGAAGGAUAGUGCAGAGGAGGGAUGGUAGGCUUUUAUACCUACUUACAGUUGUUAUUCCAAAAAAUCUGAGGUUCUUAAAAUUUAGACGUCAUUAUAUAAAAAUAAUUCUGGGAAGAAACCCAAAGGGAAGAUUUGGGAAGAACAGAUGACAUUAGGGUUGAGUCAUGAGUGAAUGACUCAUGAAUGAUGUCAGGCCCAUUGCCUUUGCAAGAAGGGCCCCUCUUCUUCACCAACACCCCCAAGCUACUGUAGACUUCAGGGGCCCUCUUCAGGAUUCUUUUUUGUUGUUGUUGUUGUUGUUGUUGUUGUUGCUAUUUCUUGGGCCGCUCCCGCGGCAUAUGGAGGUUCCCAGGCUAGGGGUUGAAUCGGAGCUGUAGCCACCGGCCUACGCCAGAGCCACAGCAACGNCCUCUUCUUCACCAACACCCCCAAGCUACUGUAGACUUCAGGAGCCCUCUUCAGGAUUCUUUUGAUCCUGAACACAGGUAACAGGUUCUCAGGAACCCCCUGCAGUUUUACCUGACUUGGUUUCUUGCUUGAGAAUGAAUGUUCCUUAAUCUGUUGACUGACUCAGAUUGCAACAUCUUCCAAAAUGAUACAGUGGAGGUGAGGGAACCUGAAGGACUGGUGCUUGGAGGCUCCAGUACUCUGCUUUCCUAAUCCUGAAUCUGGAACAGGGCCUCCCCACAACAGCUUCAGAUACCUAGUGGGAAGUUAGAGGCCAGGCGAGGAUCUGCCUGGAGGAUGUCUGUCACACUCCUGCACUGUGCCUUCUCUUUCUCCAGUCCCUGUUAGAUGCUUAUGCCUUGGCUUAGAAACUGUUCUGGCAUUAGCAUUCAGCAGAGCAAGUGGAAUCUCCUUAGUAGUCCUAAUUGUCAAAUGGGGAAUAGGAGAAGGAGAAAAAGAAUAGUAGAUGAAGGCUGAGAGUGGUGGCUGUCUGGGAUGUCAGCGGCACACGUGAGACACUUGUAGUCUCUGCUUUGUCAACUAUCUCAUCAGCAGAGGUGCCUGGGUGGCAGAUCUUUCUUUUGUGCAGCCCUACAGCCCAGGACUACAGCCAGCUUCUCCCAGAGGAAGCAGGGUGGGGAAGGGGCCUGUUUAAAUGGAACUCUCCUGGAAGUACCAGUACACAUUUUGUGAGUCUUAACAACUGUUAUAUCCUCAUCCAUCUGCUUCCAGCAUCCUUGGAAUUACACAACUGGAGAAAUGCCAGUAGUCUCAGUUUAUCCCUGAGAGCAAAGGUUCCCAUGCUAAGACUCGAAAGAAUGUGAGCUAGUCCUGAUCAGGUUGUAUGGCCAAGUGUGCUAGGCAAAUUAUUUUCUGGUCUUUGUUCUCUUAGACACUAAUAGCUUCUAAAUUUGCAUGGAAAUUGUCCUGAUAAACCAAUGCCAUUUGAAUCCAAUUUAACAAUAAAACGCCAUUGUUGUG
RNAcentral lists this long non-coding RNA (5154 nucleotides) under Sus scrofa (pig). RNAcentral describes it as "lncRNA (ENSSSCG00015077690.1)". The record is from RNAcentral. Lineage: Eukaryota; Metazoa; Chordata; Mammalia; Artiodactyla; Suidae.